RNAcentral lists this ribosomal RNA (450 nucleotides) under uncultured bacterium. RNAcentral's name for it is "partial 16S ribosomal RNA". It matches the Rfam family "Bacterial small subunit ribosomal RNA", at positions 354 to 796 of the family's 1533-position model. The record is from RNAcentral.
GUGGGGAAUCUUCCGCAAUGGACGAAAGUCUGACGGAGCAACGCCGCGUGAGUGAAGAAGGUUUUCGGAUCGUAAAGCUCUUUCGUUAGGGACGAACGUGCUCUUUGUGAAUAAUGAGGAGUAAUGACGGUACCUAAAUAAGAAGCCACGGCUAACUACGUGCCAGCAGCCGCGGUAAUACGUAGGUGGCAAGCGUUGUCCGGAAUUAUUGGGCGUAAAGCGCGCGCAGGCGGGAUAUCAAGUCUGUCUUAAAAGUGCGAGGCUCAACCUCGUGAGGGGACAGAAACUGGUAUUCUUGAGUGUCGGAUAGGAAAGUGGAAUUCCAAGUGUAGCGGUGAAAUGCGUAGAGAUUUGGAAGAACACCAGUGGCGAAGGCGACUUUCUGGACGAUGUCUGACGCUGAGGCGCGAAAGCUAGGGGAGCGAACGGGAUUAGAAACCCGUGUAGUCC